AUCUCUUGCACUCAUUCCAGCAACAUCUUAGUCAUGGUUUCUCGCGUCGUCUUUGCCGUGCUGGUGGUGGUCGUCCUAGCGGCCGCAGUAGUGGCUCUCCCUGACCCCACGAAACGGCACUUGGGAUACGGCUUGUACGGAGGAUACGGCCUCGGAGGAUUUGGCUUGGGAGGCUACGGAGGAUACGGAGGAUACGGUUAUGGAUCCCACUAUCCUUAUUACGGAUCCUACUAUGGAUAGAUAACGAAGGAUCAAGUAAACAUCGACUUCGUUUCCUGCCUGUUCAGCCUUGUAUUUAUAUUCUUAAAUACCAUAUAAUAAAGUUUUAACUCUA
Molecule: long non-coding RNA, 334 nt
Organism: Penaeus chinensis
Lineage: Eukaryota; Metazoa; Arthropoda; Malacostraca; Decapoda; Penaeidae
Exons: 3
Source: RefSeq, a predicted model, not a curated record